This 370-nucleotide ribosomal RNA is filed under the name uncultured organism. RNAcentral's name for it is "bacterial SSU rRNA". It matches the Rfam family "Bacterial small subunit ribosomal RNA", at positions 526 to 896 of the family's 1533-position model. The record is from RNAcentral.
CGAGAGGCCCAAACGUUAUUCGGAAUUACUGGGCUUAAAGAGUUCGUAGGCGGUAUGACAAGUAGGGUGUGAAAGCCCUCGGCUUAACCGAGGAAUAGCGCUCUAAACUGUCGUACUCGAGGAACCUAGAGGUGAGCAGAACAGAUGGUGGAGCGGUGAAAUGCGUUGAUAUCAUCUGGAAUACCGGAGGCGAAGGCGGCUCACUGGGGGUUUUCUGACGCUGAGGAACGAAAGCCAGGGUAGCGAACGGGAUUAGAUACCCCGGUAGUCCUGGCCGUAAACGAUGAGCACUAGGCCGGAGCCCUGCACAGGGUUUCGGCCGUAGCUAAAGUGUUAAGUGCUCCGCCUGGGGAGUAUGGUCGCAAGGCUG